UCCCUACGGGGCGCAGCAGUAGGGAAUCUUCCACAAUGGGCGAAAGCCUGAUGGAGCAACGCCGCGUGGGUGAAGAAGGUCUUCGGAUCGUAAAACCCUGUUGUUAGAGAAGAAAGUGCAUGAGAGUAACUGUUCACGUUUCGACGGUAUCUAACCAGAAAGCCACGGAUAACUACGUGCCAGCAGCCGCGGUAAUACGUAGGUGGCAAGCGUUAUCCGGAUUUAUUGGGCGUGAAGGGAACGCAGGCGGUCUUUUAAGUCUGAUGUGAAAGCCGUCGGCUUAACAGCAGUAGUGCAUUGGAAAG
This 305-nucleotide ribosomal RNA is filed under the name uncultured bacterium. RNAcentral describes it as "bacterial SSU rRNA". It matches the Rfam family "Bacterial small subunit ribosomal RNA", at positions 335 to 633 of the family's 1533-position model. The record is from RNAcentral.